AAUUAAUCUAAUUUUUUAUGUAGCUCAAUUUUUUACUGUUUGGACUUUGGAGUGUUUGGUUGAUGCAUUCAGAACUUUCACAGCCAACGUUCGUCCGCGCAACACGGGAAGCCUGAGUCCAAAAGACCGAAAUCGAGGAUACGUCAUGCUCAUCAUCGGAAAGCGGAACCCAAACAAAAGUAAACAAACAAAGUCGAAAUGUCAAAUGUUUUACGAAGUCGUAGUUCUAUUAUAUCUAUAAUCUAUGGUCGUAGUUUUGCAAAAUUUAUUCCUUCUUUUGUUGAAGAAAGCUUAUUUAGCGAGAGAAAAACAACUAGGGGCGUUGAAGAAUUUUUAAACAGCUUUAAUCCGCCAUGGGUAUCGGAAAAACAAUUGAUACAACGUGGUAAAACAAUGGUCUUUGGCACUUGCUAAAAAUACAGA
Dendronephthya gigantea is the source of this 423-nucleotide long non-coding RNA. RefSeq lists it as uncharacterized. The transcript has 3 exons. The record is from RefSeq and is a predicted model, not a curated record. Lineage: Eukaryota; Metazoa; Cnidaria; Anthozoa; Malacalcyonacea; Nephtheidae.